GACGAACGCUGGCGGCGUGCUUAACACAUGCAAGUCGAACGGAAAGGCCCUGCUUUUGUGGGGUUCUCGAGUGGCGAACGGGUGAGUAACACGUGAGUAACCUGCCCUUGACUUUGGGAUAACUUCAGGAAACUGGGGCUAAUACCGGAUAGGAUCUCCUGCUGCAUGGUGGGGGUUGGAAAGUUUCGGCGGUUGGGGAUGGACUCGCGGCUUAUCAGCUUGUUGGUGGGGUAGUGGCUUACCCAGGCUUUGACGGGUAGCCGGCCUGAGAGGGUGACCGGCCACAUUGGGACUGAGAUACGGCCCAGACUCCUACGGGAGGCAGCAGUGGGGAAUAUUGCACAAUGGGCGGAAGCCUGAUGCAGCAACGCCGCGUGCGGGAUGACGGCCUUCGGGUUGUAAACCGCUUUAGCCUGUGACGAAGCGUGAGUGACGGUAAUGGGUAAAGAAGCACCGGCUAACUACGUG
Molecule: ribosomal RNA, 468 nt
Filed under: uncultured bacterium
Lineage: Bacteria
Description: partial 16S ribosomal RNA
Rfam family: Bacterial small subunit ribosomal RNA
Source: RNAcentral